RNAcentral lists this ribosomal RNA (502 nucleotides) under uncultured bacterium. RNAcentral describes it as "partial 16S ribosomal RNA". It matches the Rfam family "Bacterial small subunit ribosomal RNA", at positions 28 to 523 of the family's 1533-position model. The record is from RNAcentral.
GAUGAACGCUAGCGGCAGGCCUAACACAUGCAAGUCGAGGGGCAGCACAGAAACAGCAAUGUUUUAGUGGCGACCGGCGGACUGGUGCGUAACGCGUAUUCAACCUACCUUACACAGGGGGAUAACGGAUGGAAAAGUCCACUAACACCCCAUAACAUUGGAAUCCGCAUCGGAAUCGGUUGAAAUCUCCGGAGGUGCAGGAGUGGCAUGCGUUGGAUUAGGUAGUUGGUGAGGUAACGGCUAACCAAGUCGACGAUACAUAGGGGGACUGAGAGGUUAGCCACCCACACUGGUACUGAGACACGGACCAGACGCCUACGGGAGGCAGCAGUGAGGAAGAUUGGUCAAUGGGGGCAACCCUGAAUCAGCCAUGCCGCGUGCAGGAAGACGGCUCUAUGAGUUGUAAACUGCUUUUACACAGGGAUAAAUCGGGGUACGCGUACCCCGUUGAAGGUACUGUGGGAAUAAGGAUCGGCUAACUCCGUGCCAGCAGCCGCCGUAA